This 246-nucleotide ribosomal RNA is filed under the name uncultured Lactobacillus sp. RNAcentral describes it as "partial 16S ribosomal RNA". It matches the Rfam family "Bacterial small subunit ribosomal RNA", at positions 116 to 355 of the family's 1533-position model. Lineage: Bacteria; Bacillati; Bacillota; Bacilli; Lactobacillales; Lactobacillaceae. The record is from RNAcentral.
CGUGGGUAACCUGCCCAAGAGAUCGGGAUAACACCUGGAAACAGAUGCUAAUACCGGAUAACAACAGAUGAUGCCUAUCAACUGUUUAAAAGAUGGUUCUGCUAUCACUCUUGGAUGGACCUGCGGUGCAUUAGCUAGUUGGUAGGGUAACGGCCUACCAAGGCGAUGAUGCAUAGCCGAGUUGAGAGACUGAUCGGCCACAUUGGUACUGAGACACGGCCCAAACUCCUACGGGAGGCAGCAGCC